GAAACAACAUGUCUCACUCUCUCGCUCACACACACACACACACACACACAUCUCCAAACAGUUCUCGUCUUAUAACCGAGAGAGAAAAAAAAAGAAACGUUCCUUAUUUUGUUUUCUCCAGGAUUCACGCCGAGAGUUAAUCCAGACCUAUUCUACUUGGAGGAAUCUGCAUUUCAAGCAACAUAAUUAGAUAAGAAAUGAAAAUCAGAUGGAUCCUACAAUGGUGAAUUGAAUCGAAUUGGCUGAAGAUUGAUAUCUAAGAUGGUGGGGAUCUCAGGAAGAGGCUGCGAAGGAUCAUCUACUUGACACUUCCAGCUGAAGAUUUUAUGCUGUUAUGAACAUUGGGUUCACCAGAAUCAAAUGGGAAGCAUGAAUUGUAUAUCACCAGUCAUAAAAUACUGCUCAACAAAGUGCAGUUUAAUGCAACGAAAUAUAUCAGUUUCAUAAUGUAAUAGCACUACUGAACACCGAUGGAUGUCGAAUUACAUUAUCACUGUGAUUAAAGUGCAAGUUCUGUACAUUGCCAUAAAUGGUAGGGUUUGCUCCACGAAUCAAGUUUUACUUCCUACUACAAAUUGAAAAAUAAUCUAUUAUAUCAGAAUGGGGAACAUUUUGAAUCAUCACAAGAUUAAUUGGCAACAAGAUUGAGAAAUGAAAAAUGUUGUAACACUUUGCACUACAAUAAAGAAAUUGCACAUAACAUUAUUUCUUUUUACAUUAAAAGACAUAAGCGAA
Carcharodon carcharias (great white shark) is the source of this 735-nucleotide long non-coding RNA. RefSeq lists it as uncharacterized. The record is from RefSeq and is a predicted model, not a curated record. The transcript has 4 exons. NCBI's taxonomy places the organism in Eukaryota, Metazoa, Chordata, Chondrichthyes, Lamniformes, Lamnidae.